Molecule: ribosomal RNA, 484 nt
Filed under: uncultured bacterium
Lineage: Bacteria
Description: partial 16S ribosomal RNA
Rfam family: Bacterial small subunit ribosomal RNA
Source: RNAcentral
AUUGAACGCUGGCGGCAGGCCUAACACAUGCAAGUCGAGCGGAAGAAGGGAGCUUGCUCCUGGAAUCAGCGGAGGACGGGUGAGUAAUGCCUAGGAAUCUGCCUGGUAGUGGGGGAUAACGUCCGGAAACGGGCGCUAAUACCGCAUACGUUCUGAGUGUGAAAGAGGGGGAGCUUCGGACCUCACGCUACCAGAUGAGCCUAGGUCGGAUUAGCUCGUUGGUGGGGUAAAGGCCUACCAAGGAGACGAUCCGUAACUGGUCUGAGAGGAUGAUCAGUCACACUGGAACUGAGACACGGUCCAGACUCCUACGGGAGGCAGCAGUGGGGAAUAUUGGACAUUGGGCGAAAGCCUGAUCCAGCCAUGCCGCGUGUGUGCAGAGGGUCUUCGGAUUGUAAAGCACUUUAAGUUGGAAGGAAGGGCAGUAAGUUAAUACCUUGCUGUAUUGACGGUACCAACAGAAUAAGCCCCGGCUAACUUCGUG